UACCAGACUCCUACGGGAGGCAGCAGUGGGGGAUAUUGCACAAUGGGGGAAACCCUGAUGCAGCGACGCCGCGUGGGCGAAGAAGUAUUUCGGUAUGUAAAGCCCUAUCAGCAGGGAAGAAGAUGACGGUACCUGACCAAGAAGCUCCGGCUAAAUACGUGCCAGCAGCCGCGGUAAUACGUAUGGUGCAAGCGUUAUCCGGAUUUACUGGGCGUAAAGGGAGCGCAGGCGGCGCGCCAAGUCUGAUGUGAAACCCCGGGGCUCAACCCCGGGCAUGCAUUGGAAACUGGCGGGCUGGAGUGCCGGAGAGGUAAGCGGAAUUCCUAGUGUAGCGGUGAAAUGCGUAGAUAUUAGGAGGAACACCAGUGGCGAAGGCGGCUUACUGGACGGCAACUGACGCUGAGGCUCGAAAGCGUGGGGAGCAAACAGGAUUAGAUACCCGAGUA
Molecule: ribosomal RNA, 446 nt
Filed under: uncultured bacterium
Lineage: Bacteria
Description: partial 16S ribosomal RNA
Rfam family: Bacterial small subunit ribosomal RNA
Source: RNAcentral